RNAcentral lists this ribosomal RNA (497 nucleotides) under uncultured bacterium. Its description in RNAcentral is "partial 16S ribosomal RNA". It matches the Rfam family "Bacterial small subunit ribosomal RNA", at positions 28 to 507 of the family's 1533-position model. The record is from RNAcentral.
GAUGAACGCUGGCGGCGUGCCUAAUACAUGCAAGUCGAGCGAACGGACGAGAAGCUUGCUUCUCUGAUGUUAGCGGCGGACGGGUGAGUAACACGUGGAUAACCUACCUAUAAGACUGGGAUAACUUCGGGAAACCGGAGCUAAUACCGGAUAAUAUUUUGAACCGCAUGGUUCAAAAGUGAAAGACGGUCUUUCUGUCACUUAUAGAUGGAUCCGCGCUGCAUUAGCUAGUUGGUAAGGUAACGGCUUACCAAGGCAACGAUGCAUAGCCGACCUGAGAGGAUGAUCGGCCACACUGGAACUGAGACACGGUCCAGACUCCUGAGGGAGGCAGCAGUAGGGAAUCUUCCGCAAUGGGCGAAAGCCUGACGGAGCAACGCCGCGUGAGUGAUGAAGGUCUACGGAUCGUAAAACUCUGUUAUUAGGGAAGUACAUAUGUGUAAGUACCUGUGCACAUAUUGACGGUACCUAAUCAGAAAGCCACGGCUAACUACGUG